UGUCGGCACAAGCUGUUAAUAGAGAAAACAAUUCAUCAUAAUUUGGCGGCCACCGCGGGAUGCCUUUACCCAUGGUGGUCCACUAUAAGAACGUAAAGUAUACACGACGAUGUCGGUUGUACUUAUAUGUGUUUCGGUUACCGGUAUUGACCCCGACAGAUUUAUUACAUACCUACCUACAAGGGCAAUUAAUCGGCGAGCCAAACUUAUUCUUUUUAUAACAUCAUGUAUUCUAGAUAUUUUUCAAUCUCUUUUGAGAAAAAAGGUACUCAUUUGUUAUAUACUCGUAAUAAAAUUAAAAUUGCGUUUUGUUAAUAGUUAAAAUUAUAAAAAAAGAAAUUGGUAUGUCUAAUCAAAAUGAUUGAGAGAUAUUGCUUCACCCGAUUAUAUUGAAUACGUAUUGUCGCAAAGUGCCGUUUGCUUCACGGUUGUAUGUGUGUUGUGUCGCGCAUGAUAAUAAUAUAAUAUAAUUUCCACAAAGUAUACUAUGAACUGAGAGAGAGAGGCAAGUGAGAAAGAGACGUAGAGAGGAAGCAUCAAGGAGGGUUCGCGGUGGCAGCAGUACCGGGCGAAAGCAGAUUAGCGUGAAUAAUGAAGACACGACCCCGUGAAAGCCUAAGCGGGCCUCCUUAAGUCUGUUCCUUGGAGUAGAAGCCGAAGCCGGAAAGGGAGGAUGCUGAGGGAGGGAGGUGGAGCGGACAGAAAGGACGUAGAAGCAGUUAAUUACUCCUCCCAUCCACGGGAUAACGACUUCCCCUUAUUUGUCGAGAGGCGCAAACAGCCAACCCUCCGCGAAAUCCCUCGCCAAGACGCUUUCUCCUGCGUAUACAUACAGGCAGAUGCGAUCGAGAACUAUCCAGUUCAUUUUGGAGUAUCCAUUUUUCAUCGAUCUGUUUCUCGAUCGAUCACUCACUUCGGGACUUCGGGAUGAAACGCUUGAUGUCACCUAGUUAUGAAGACGCGUUAUUCAAGAUGGAUCAAAUUCAGGAUGCCGAUAAAAUAAUCAGAAUACGAUGUUCGGAAUAGGAUGUUUUGAAAGAAAGAUUGUAGCCAAAUCUACAAGAGAUCUAAAUGUUGUAAAAAAUAAUUUAAAAGAACAAACGCUGAAUGGAAAUUAAAUCUGCCUUUCGCAUAAAUUUAUCCAUACGAUAUAUUCUCACCCCAACGGAGUCAUUUCGAGGUAUAAGACGCAGCCAUCGUCAACCGCCACUCGCUAAGUCGAAGAACCCAUUGACAGCUACAGGACGACGUGGUAGCACAUGUUACGGCGGGACCAUGCACGGAACAUGCCAUGCAACGAAACAAAUGUUAGGUACGCCCAAAAACACGAUGCGAAAAGAGUGAGAGAAAGAAAGAGAGAGAGAGAGAGAGAGAGAGACAGACUAAUUACGAAAGAAAUCAUAAUAGGCACACAUGCACCGCGGGCGAUGUCGGGCUAACGAUCAGGCUUCCUCCGCCGCAUCUGCACCUGUUACUCGGAUCCUAUGGUCGUGUCGAUGCACGCGAGCUGCAUAUGCCGAUGGCCUUCCUCAGAAACAAACCGCCUAAGGCUCCGCUCCUCCCUCCAACUUCCAUAGAUCCUGAAUCCAGAAAGGUGAGGUUUUAUCCUAUUCACUCAUAUACACCAUUUUACGUUCUAUAUAUUAAAAAAAAAGAAAGAAAUAGACCGAUUAGAGAAGAAACCAAUUAAAAUUUCGCGAAAUUAAUUCCCCGAUCUAUGGAAUCAAUUAGAUCUAAAAUCGCAUUCAGAUUUCAUUAUUAAAAGAAAUUGAUUCUCAUUAUGAAUGUGUAUAAAUGCGAAAUGUAAUCGUCUACAACUUCAAGCCUCGCAAGAAAGCUCUAUUGCGUAUGUACAUUAUCGGACACGACUAGUUUUAUUAGGGAAAGGGAGAGAGAGAAAGAGAGAGAGAGAGAGAGAAAGAAAGAAGGAGAGAGCUAAAUCAUCGAUAUUAAUGACGCGAUCUAUAAAAUUUUCCAUCGAUUAGGUUCGCCGUGACGGCGCAACCUUCUCUCUAUCGCCAUAAGAGAGCUCGUAAUCGUAAUUAACAUCUCUCUCUUCCUCUCGACCAUUCCGUUUUAUCGCGUUACUCCGCUUAGAGGAAAGUCGCCGACAAGUCGCUCACGCACGACGAGUCAGCGUAAUAACGGCCGCUUUGAACUGACCACGAGCGCGAGAUAAACGGACAGAAGGUCUCGUUAAUUAAGGCGGAAAAUAUAUAUACAUAUAUAUGCGAACGAAAAGCGCCCUGUGCCACGCGUUGCGCCUAAGGCACGAACAAUCUUUUUGUCUUGAUGCUGUUCGCGGAGCACCCAUGUGCGGAGCUCUCAUGUGCCGCUGUUUGCUAUAUUAUUGUCCGUCGACGACGAAAUUGAAUGAAUCGCGAUUUUAAAUACGCGCACUGACCACCGCCCGUGUGUUUCGGAACUCCGGAGCUCUCUUUAUUCCGCCGACCAGUCGUGCGUAUGAUUACUACUCCGUUUGUCAUUCUCGAGUAAUCAACGUUCGCAGAUAUUUAAUAAUUACGUGCGCGAGUUUCGACGGACAGCUAAUUGCUCCAUGAUGAAAGGUGAGCGCAGCAAAAGGAAAAUAUCGUUAUCGUUAAUAAUGAGUAGACUCGAGUAGAUAAUUAGAAUCAGAUAAGCGACGAACGUGUACCUUCGAUCAAGUGAUAUCCUUUAAAUUACAUGUUUUUAAUCAUCAUUUUAAUUUUGCGUUCACAAUCAUUAUGUCGAAUGACUAAAGUUGGCCAAUUUCGAUGAUUGACAUGUUUUUAAGUUGAAAAUUUUGUAGAAUAAUUUAAUACCUUCUCUACAAGCAUCUCUAGAUUUGUCAAGGAUAGUAAAAAUUGUUAUUGCUAAAUUGAAACGUAUAAUACAUCUAUUCAUUAGUGGUUCAGUUGCACGCAAUAAUUCAAAAUUAAACGGAAAGAAAGAGAGAGAGAGAGAGAGAGAAAGACAGAGAAAAUGUACGCCUUUUCUAGAUACUCUUGUGUAAAAAUUCUCCCCCGGGCCGAAAAUUUCUUUUGCCUCAGCCCGAGGCGAGGCCCCUGUUGAGGCAAUCUUCGUUAUAAACACCGGAUGGCCGGAGUGUGAAGAUAUUACCCUCUAAAGUGUUUUAACCCGUCAAAGCAAAUGCCGUUCGCCUCCUGCAGUCGUAAUUUUGAGAAGACUGCCUAGUCAGAUUUUUCCUUUUUCUUCCCCUUCCUCUCCCCUUCCUGUCUUCAUUCGAAACUUUGCACGCGAGGAAUAAUUUUCAAUAAGUGCAUCUCGCCGCGUUGCAUCUCUUGUCUUUAGCGAAUAGAUAUAAGAAUGGACCGGCUUUAAAAACUUGUAGACCUCGAAGAGUUAUGAAGCAGUACGAUCUUGAAUAUCGCGAAAAAUCGCGAGAAGUUUUGAUCCUUAUAAUCUUCUCCUUUCUUUUAUGAAAUAUAUAUGCUCGAGCAAAAAAUCCUUUAAAUUUUCCAGUGCAAAGUGAUCGAUUCUCCUUCUCAUUUCAGACAGAUCUUUCUUCCAAUAGAUUUUUCUUCGUUGCCUUGUUUUGUCCACGAAGAUAGUCACUCAAUGUACGGUAGUAUGUACUUAGUUAACAUCAAAACGAUCAUUAGAAUCAAAUAUUGUGGGUAUUUCGAAAGAAAACUAGUUACAUAUUGUUUUGUCAUUCAUCAUCGAUUUAACGAGACGAGAAGGAGAGUAUACAGAUGAGAAUCGAAAGGGAUGACGUUUCUCUCUGAGUUCGAUUGAUUUAGAUCGAGGUAAGUCUCGAGCACAGGCCCUGUAAUCUCGCUGACACGCCGGUACGCACGCGAACAUAACCCCUGGGGAUGUAUCCGAAAUUUAGGACGAGGGGGGUAGAGCUGCAAAAGGAAUAUUCCCUUUGUACCAGUCCUCGCGUACUGAAUUAGUGUCCCUCAAAUUUACGAGACUCUCGUCAGAUCGGUGAACGAUGAUUCUCGGUAGAACAAAUUAGAUGGGAAUGCAUCUUGUUAGAUGAUCCGACGUAUUCUAAGAUGGGGUGUAGUAGAAGAUCUAAGAAAACAACUGAUAAUUCUAUAAUAUAUGUACAUAGAG
This is a long non-coding RNA of Camponotus floridanus (Florida carpenter ant), 4068 nucleotides long. RefSeq lists it as uncharacterized. The record is from RefSeq and is a predicted model, not a curated record. NCBI's taxonomy places the organism in Eukaryota, Metazoa, Arthropoda, Insecta, Hymenoptera, Formicidae. The transcript is spliced from 3 exons.